UAGAGGGGAAAGUGGGAGAGACAGACAGAGAGGAAGAGAGAUAGAGGGGGUGGGGGGGGGAGGAAAAGAGGGAGUGAGUUGGAGAGAGAAAGGAGAGAGAGAAAGAGAGAGAAGGGGGUGGAGGCUUUAGCAUGUGAUAAGAAGGCUUCACAAGGGGGGAAGAGGCCAGAGGAGAGCUGGAGGGGUUUUGGGCCGAGGAGAAGGGAAAGCCCCGAGAGAGAGAGAGGGAGAGAGAGGGAGAGGGAGAGAAAGAGAAAGACAGACAGACAGGGAGAAUAGCACCGCCACCACCACUCUUCUUUCACCUCACCUCUGUCUUUUUUGUCUUUCUUUCUGUCUUUCUCUUUGUCUUUGCACCUUGUCUCUGGUUCUCUCCUCUCUCUCUCUCUCUCUCUCUCUCUUUCUCUCUCUGCCGGUCUUUUAGCUCAGCUGCUGUCACUUUAAGGCUGUUACUGAUUAGUUGCUGAAGAAUGCUGGAAAGAAAAAGGGAGAGCUAGAGCGAGAGAGUGAGGGAGAGGGAGAGACAGAGAAGGAGGAAGGAGGUAUAUAGUCAAACAGAGCAAGGAAAAGAGAAAGAGAGAGAGAGAGUUAAGUGAGAGAAAGAAAGAAAAAAAGAGUGUCUCAGCUGGGAAAGAGAGUCGGUGUCUUGAGUGGAGAGGGUUGUAAUGGGAAAGUCGAGUUGAGUUAAGUCGCGUUGAGUUGAGGUUAGUUUUUUUUUUUUGUUACAGCACGGAGCGACUGUCAGCCCUUUGAAGCGGAUCUCCGGAGUCCGGACCCCUCUCUCUCUCUCUCUCUCUCUCUCUCUCUCUCUCUCUCUCUCUCUCUCUCUCUCUCUCUCUCUCUCUCUCUCUCUCUCUCUCUCUCUCUCUCCCCCUUCGGCUUCUUUGGAGAGACGGACGGCAGAAGGAGCAGCUGGGAAGCUGGGCACCCCUCGCAGCAUGCAGGAAAUACUCCUUUCACUCAGACUGAGCUGUGCAGAUCCCAGACGCAACAAGCUUCUCACAACACCACACACAAGACAACGCAUGGUGGUUAAAGUGUUUCCCCGAGUCCUCCAUAUGUAAAGAAGCAACACUCCUUGUAGGAUGGAGAUAUAGAUUGAUGGAUGGAAGGAGCAUGGAAAGGAAAAAAGAGAACAGGAAAAGGACGGCGGGGGGAAGAAAAGGAGAAGAAUGUUCCGGUAGCGUGGGCUCCUCUGGUUUUUGAGGCUGCCGCCCCCCUCCAGUGUGGGGCCUUUGCUGCUGUUGUUGCCUGUUGUUGUUCUUGGUGGU
This is a long non-coding RNA of Engraulis encrasicolus (European anchovy), 1271 nucleotides long. RefSeq lists it as uncharacterized. Lineage: Eukaryota; Metazoa; Chordata; Actinopteri; Clupeiformes; Engraulidae. The record is from RefSeq and is a predicted model, not a curated record. The transcript is spliced from 3 exons.